GGGGAUUUAGCUCAGCAGCAUAAGCGCCUGCCUGGCAAGCACAAGGUUAUGAGUUCAAUCCCCAUUACCACCA
Molecule: transfer RNA, 73 nt
Organism: Cavia porcellus (domestic guinea pig)
Lineage: Eukaryota; Metazoa; Chordata; Mammalia; Rodentia; Caviidae
Rfam family: tRNA
About the family: Transfer RNA (tRNA) molecules are approximately 80 nucleotides in length. Their secondary structure includes four short double-helical elements and three loops (D, anti-codon, and T loops).
Source: Rfam